This is a non-coding RNA of Pimephales promelas (fathead minnow), 410 nucleotides long. The record is from RefSeq and is a predicted model, not a curated record. NCBI's taxonomy places the organism in Eukaryota, Metazoa, Chordata, Actinopteri, Cypriniformes, Leuciscidae.
UAAACCAUGCUAAUACAAUUCCACUAAUGCCAACAUAGUUUUCUAGUGUAUUUAAAAGAAUGUUGUUGUGUCAAACACAGCACUAUAAGAUCAAGUAACACUAAUACCAUUGCCAUUGUUGUCCAGACUGUUUCUAAUUCUGAUUUCUGCCCCAUUUAGUCUUGUAGGAACAGCGUCUAAUGUGUUUGUAAUAACCACUGAAAACACUUUGUGUCUUUUCUGUAAGUUCAGUCUCCACCAGGGAUUGACCUCUGCUGAAGUGUGGGUACAAGAUCCACGCCGAAAACACAAUUUCUGUUCCCAUCAAUGGCAUUGGAUGCAAAGCCAUUAAGUUCAGUCUCCACCAGGGAUUGACCUCUUCUGAAGUGUGGGUACAAGAUGCAUGACUGUAAACACCAUCUCUGUUCCCA